RNAcentral lists this ribosomal RNA (490 nucleotides) under uncultured bacterium. Its description in RNAcentral is "partial 16S ribosomal RNA". It matches the Rfam family "Bacterial small subunit ribosomal RNA", at positions 28 to 507 of the family's 1533-position model. The record is from RNAcentral.
GAUGAACGCUAGCUACAGGCUUAACACAUGCAAGUCGAGGGGAAACGAUGAGAGAGCUUGCUCUCUUAGGCGUCGACCGGCGCACGGGUGAGUAACGCGUAUCCAACCUACCCAUUACAGGGGGAUAACCUUGCGAAAGUAAGACUAAUACCCCAUGGCAUUUUAUGGUGGCAUCAUUAUAGGAUUAAAGAUUUAUUGGUAAUGGAUGGGGAUGCGUCUGAUUAGCUUGUUGGCGGGGUAACGGCCCACCAAGGCAACGAUCAGUAGGGGUUCUGAGAGGAAGGUCCCCCACAUUGGAACUGAGACACGGUCCAAACUCCUACGGGAGGCAGCAGUGAGGAAGAUUAGUCAAUGGGCGAGAGCUUGAACCAGCCAAGUAGCGUGCAGGAUGACGGCCCUAGGGGUUGUAAACUGCUUUUAUAGGGGAAUAAAGUGAGAUACGUGUAGUUUAUUGCAUGUACCCUAUGAAUAAGGACCGGCUAAUUCCGUG